UAGAUUGCUGAAACAAUAGUAUGAGAAUAAUAGUAUUAUUGUUUUGCAUUUACUUAAUGAAAUCUCAUUUCUACAACAUUGUUAAUUCUUUUUUUGAAUAUAGAUUGCUGAAACAAGUAGACUGUAUGCUUAAGAGAAAGAAGAGGAGGUGAAAUUAUAUGAGAUUUCUGUUGAAGAGCUGGAUUGUAUGGUGAUUGUCCUUGAAAACCAGGUUGACAUGGUCAAAGGAGAUGCUGAAAGGCAACGAUUGCAAAGGGAAGAGCUAGAACUAGAGUUUCAUGCUUUUAAACAACAAAUCAACCAAGUCAAAACUAGUGAUUAAGACAUAAAAAGAGCUUUGAAUGAAAAAGAGAAAAGUCUUCAAGAGUCCCUUCAGCGGGUUGAACUUCUUGAAAAAGAGAUUGCCAACAAAAAUAAAGUGAUUGUCCAACAUAAAGCUCACAUUUCCGAGCUUAAUCUGCAUGCUGAAGCUCA
Molecule: long non-coding RNA, 474 nt
Organism: Lactuca sativa (garden lettuce)
Lineage: Eukaryota; Viridiplantae; Streptophyta; Magnoliopsida; Asterales; Asteraceae
Source: RefSeq, a predicted model, not a curated record